Molecule: ribosomal RNA, 1427 nt
Filed under: 'Lactuca sativa' leaf rot phytoplasma
Lineage: Bacteria; Bacillati; Mycoplasmatota; Mollicutes; Acholeplasmatales; Acholeplasmataceae
Description: bacterial SSU rRNA
Rfam family: Bacterial small subunit ribosomal RNA
Source: RNAcentral
CAUGCAAGUCGAACGGAAGUUUAAGCAAUUAAACUUUAGUGGCGAACGGGUGAGUAACGCGUAAGCAAUCUGCCCCUAAGACGAGGAUAACAGUUGGAAACGACUGCUAAGACUGGAUAGGAGACAAGAAGGCAUCUUCUUGUUUUUAAAAGACCUAGCAAUAGGUAUGCUUAGGGAGGAGCUUGCGUCACAUUAGUUAGUUGGUGGGGUAAAGGCCUACCAAGACUAUGAUGUGUAGCCGGGCUGAGAGGUUGAACGGCCACAUUGGGACUGAGACACGGCCCAAACUCCUACGGGAGGCAGCAGUAGGGAAUUUUCGGCAAUGGAGGAAACUCUGACCGAGCAACGCCGCGUGAACGAUGAAGUAUUUCGGUACGUAAAGUUCUUUUAUUAGGGAAGAAUAAAUGAUGGAAAAAUCAUUCUGACGGUACCUAAUGAAUAAGCCCCGGCUAACUAUGUGCCAGCAGCCGCGGUAAUACAUAGGGGGCAAGCGUUAUCCGGAAUUAUUGGGCGUAAAGGGUGCGUAGGCGGUUAAAUAAGUUUAUGGUCUAAGUGCAAUGCUCAACAUUGUGAUGCUAUAAAAACUGUUUAGCUAGAGUAAGAUAGAGGCAAGUGGAAUUCCAUGUGUAGUGGUAAAAUGCGUAAAUAUAUGGAGGAACACCAGUAGCGAAGGCGGCUUGCUGGGUCUUUACUGACGCUGAGGCACGAAAGCGUGGGGAGCAAACAGGAUUAGAUACCCUGGUAGUCCACGCCGUAAACGAUGAGUACUAAACGUUGGGUAAAACCAGUGUUGAAGUUAACACAUUAAGUACUCCGCCUGAGUAGUACGUACGCAAGUAUGAAACUUAAAGGAAUUGACGGGACUCCGCACAAGCGGUGGAUCAUGUUGUUUAAUUCGAAGGUACCCGAAAAACCUCACCAGGUCUUGACAUGCUUCUGCAAAGCUGUAGAAACACAGUGGAGGUUAUCAGUUGCACAGGUGGUGCAUGGUUGUCGUCAGCUCGUGUCGUGAGAUGUUGGGUUAAGUCCCGCAACGAGCGCAACCCUUAUUGUUAGUUACCAGCACGUAAUGGUGGGGACUUUAGCAAGACUGCCAGUGAUAAAUUGGAGGAAGGUGGGGACGACGUCAAAUCAUCAUGCCCCUUAUGACCUGGGCUACAAACGUGAUACAAUGGCUGUUACAAAGGGUAGCUGAAGCGCAAGUUUUUGGCGAAUCUCAAAAAAACAGUCUCAGUUCGGAUUGAAGUCUGCAACUCGACUUCAUGAAGUUGGAAUCGCUAGUAAUCGCGAAUCAGCAUGUCGCGGUGAAUACGUUCUCGGGGUUUGUACACACCGCCCGUCAAACCACGAAAGUUGGAAAUACCCAAAGCCGGUGGCCUAACUUCGCAAGAAGAGGGAACCGUCUAAGGUAGGGUCGAUGAUUGGGG